AGGGUUUGAUCCUGGCUCAGGAUGAACGCUGGCGGCGUGCCUAAUACAUGCAAGUCGAACGAGGCCCUCUUCCUUCGGGAGGAGGUGUCCUAGUGGCGAACGGGUGAGUAACACGUUGGUGACCUACCCCGAAGAGGGGGACAACCCCGGGAAACUGGGGCUAAUACCCCAUGUGAUCCAGAGCGUUAGAGGGCUUUGGAUGAAAUGGAUGCUUUGCAUUUGCUUCGGGAGGGGCCUGCGGCCUAUCAGCUAGUUGGUGAGGUAAUGGCUCACCAAGGCGACGACGGGUAGGGGACCUGAGAGGGUGACCCCCCACACUGGAACUGAAACACGGACCAGACACCUACGGGUGGCAGCAGUAGGGAAUAUUGCACAAUAGGCGAAAGCCUGAUGCAGCAACGCCGCGUGCGCGAUGAAGGCCUUCGGGUUGUAAAGCGCUUUUCUGGGGGAAGAGAAAGGACGGUACCCCAGGAAUAAGUCUCGGCUAACUACGUGCCAGCAGCCGCGGUAAAACGUAGGAGGCAAGCGUUAUCCGGAUUUACUGGGCGUAAAGCGCGUGCAGGCGGUUUGGUAAGUCGGACGUGAAAGCUCCCGGCUCAACUGGGAGAGGCCGUUCGAAACUGCCAGACUAGAGGGCAGCAGAGGGAGGUGGAAUUCCGGGUGUAGCGGUGAAAUGCGUAGAUAUCCGGAGGAACACCAGUGGCGAAGGCGGCCUCCUGGACUGUCCCUGACGCUAAGACGCGAAAGCUAGGGGAGCAA
This 759-nucleotide ribosomal RNA is filed under the name uncultured bacterium. Its description in RNAcentral is "bacterial SSU rRNA". It matches the Rfam family "Bacterial small subunit ribosomal RNA", at positions 8 to 771 of the family's 1533-position model. The record is from RNAcentral.